Molecule: small RNA, 125 nt
Filed under: Marmota monax (woodchuck)
Lineage: Eukaryota; Metazoa; Chordata; Mammalia; Rodentia; Sciuridae
Source: RNAcentral
GCUGGGUGUGGUUGCACAUGCCUGUAAUCCCAGCACCUAGGGAGGCUGAGACAGGAGGAUUGGGAGUUCAAAGCCAGCCUCAGCAAAAGUAAGGCACUAAGCAAUUCAGUGAGACCCUGUCUCUA